RNAcentral lists this ribosomal RNA (253 nucleotides) under uncultured bacterium. RNAcentral's name for it is "partial 16S ribosomal RNA". It matches the Rfam family "Bacterial small subunit ribosomal RNA", at positions 524 to 776 of the family's 1533-position model. The record is from RNAcentral.
UACAGAGGUCUCAAGCGUUGUUCGGAUUCAUUGGGCGUAAAGGGUGCGUAGGUGGCGCCGUAAGUCGGGUUUGAAAUUUCGGAGCUUAACUCCGAAACUGCAUUCGAUACUGCGGUGCUUGAGGACUGGAGAGGAGACUGGAAUUCAUGGUGUAGCAGUGAAAUGCGUAGAUAUCGAGAGGAACACCAAUGGCGAAGGCAGCUAUCUGGAUCGUAACUGACACUCAUGAGCGAAAGUGCGGGGAGCAAACAGG